RNAcentral lists this ribosomal RNA (253 nucleotides) under uncultured bacterium. RNAcentral's name for it is "partial 16S ribosomal RNA". It matches the Rfam family "Bacterial small subunit ribosomal RNA", at positions 524 to 776 of the family's 1533-position model. The record is from RNAcentral.
UACGUAGGGGGCUAGCGUUGUCCGGAAUCAUUGGGCGUAAAGAGCGCGUAGGCGGCCAGAUAAGUCCGGUGUGAAAGUCAAAGGCUCAACCUUUGAAUGCCGCUGGAAACUGUCUGGCUAGAGUCCGGGAGGGGCGAGUGGAAUUCCUGGUGUAGCGGUGAAAUGCGCAGAUAUCUGGAGGAACACCGGUGGCGAAGGCGGCAUCCUGGACCGGUAUUGACGCUGAGGAGCGAAAGCCAGGGGAGCAAACGGG